GACGGCACCGUCCCAAAAACUAAAUGCUCAGUUUCCACUUGUUACUUGUUGUUACGUUACCAACAACAACGACGACGACACGGCAUCACUGCUGCAUCGAUCUGCAUAUGCAACCCACAAAGAAAAGAAAAGAAGCCAUCUUGUUCUCGUACGCAUCGAUCCCCACCACUCGCUCUCGAUCGCAUCAAGAAACGCCUAUCUACAGCUAGACAACACUCGUGUUCUCCGUUCAACUUAGUAACCUCUCUGUACAUAGAGAUAAGACCAGACAAAUCCAUCAGCUAGUCACUCGAUCGGGGCCCCGCCAUGGAGCAAUGGGCGUACUACCAUUGCCUCUUCCUGGCUCUCCUCCUCCCUCUCCUGCUGCUCAAGCUCAACAGCAAGCGUGGCGGCGUGCGUCUGCCACCCGGUCCGUGGCGGCUGCCGGUCAUCGGCAGCCUGCAGCACCUCGCCGGCAACCCGCUCGUGCACCGCGUCAUGGCCGACCUCGCGCGCCGGCUGGACGCGCCGCUCAUGUACCUCAAGCUCGGCGAGGUGCCCGUGGUGGUGGCCACGUCCCCGGAGGCCGCCCGCGAGAUCAUGCGGACGCACGACGUCGUCUUCGCGACGCGGCCGUGGAGCCCCACCGUCAAGAUCAUGAACGCCGAGGGGCAAGGCCUGAUAUUCGCGCGCUACGGUGCGUUGUGGCGCCAGCUCCGCAAGAUCUGCAUCCUGGAGCUGCUCAGCGCGCGCCGCGUGCAGUCGUUCCGCCAUAUCAGAGAGGACGAGGUCGGACGCCUCCUGGCCGCUGUUGCCGCGGUGCCGCCCGGGGAGCCCGUGAACGUGAGCGAGCGGAUCGCCGUGCUCAUCACCGACUCGGCGGUGCGCGCCAUGAUUGGGGACAGGUUUAAGAGGCGGGAGGAGUUCUUGCAGACUCUCGACGAAGGGGUCAAGCUCGUCGCCGGGUUCAACCUCGGCGACCUCUUCCCGUCGUCGCGCCUCGCCAGCUUCAUCAGCGGCACGGCGCGGCUGGCCGAGGAGAACCACCGCAAGAGCUUCGAGCUCAUGGAGUACGCGAUCCAGCAGCACGAGCAGCAGAGGGCCGCCGCCUCAGCGAACGAUGACGGAGGAGAGGACCUAGUGGACACGCUCUUGAGGAUACGCAAGGAAGGUGGCCUCGACGUGCCUCUUACCAUGGGCAUGAUCAAAGCAGUUAUACUGGAUCUAUUUGGUGCCGGGAGUGAGACUUCAGCUACCACACUUCAGUGGGCCAUGUCGGAGCUCAUGAGGUACCCAAACGUGAUGCGGAAAGCACAAGCUGAAGUACGCAAAAACCUCCAAGGAAAACAUAAGGUGACUGAGGAUGACUUGGCCAAUCUCAAGUACCUUAGACUCGUCAUCAAGGAGACAAUGAGGUUGCAUCCAGCCGCGCCAUUGCUUCUCCCUAGAGAGGCCAUGGAGCCUUGCAAAAUUCUCGGGUACGACAUACCCAAGGGCACCACGGUGUUGGUGAAUGCAUGGGCGAUCGGCAGGGAUCCUAAGCAUUGGGAGGAUCCUGAGGAGUUCAAGCCGGAGAGAUUCAAGUCCGGAAUGGUCGACUUCAAAGGCACAAACUUCGAGUACAUACCGUUCGGGGCAGGCAGGAGAAUGUGCCCUGGAAUGACAUUUGCGCAGGCCAGCAUGGAGAUUGUGCUCGCCUCACUUCUCUACCACUUUGACUGGGAGCUCCCAAAUGGGGUUAAGCCAGAUGGGCUAGACAUGACCGAGGAGAUGGGUCUCACCGUCCGGCGAAAGAACGACUUGUAUCUGCACGCCGUGGUCCAUGUACCCCUGAUUUGAUUUACACUUGCAUUGGUAUGUCAUAUGUGACUGAAUUCUCGCAUAUUUGUGCCUUCUAUGUGCCUUGGUCAACUGUGUGACUGCUAGACUGCCUUGUCAGGUGACUGCCAGAGAUACGUUGUCGAUUAAUUUGGGGUCCUCAAACUUCUCUGAUCCUCAUACUUGGAUGUUCAUCUUAGAACACCGAUCAGUGAAUUAAUUUUAUGUUAUGUACUGAGAUCUUGACCAUCUGUUUACCAGAUUUGAUUACCCAAGCUAUUCAUCCGAACAUGAUUUUAGAGCCGAAAAAAUUAUAUUGGG
Molecule: ribosomal RNA, 2118 nt
Filed under: Triticum aestivum (bread wheat)
Lineage: Eukaryota; Viridiplantae; Streptophyta; Magnoliopsida; Poales; Poaceae
Description: partial small subunit ribosomal RNA
Source: RNAcentral